This 492-nucleotide ribosomal RNA is filed under the name uncultured bacterium. Its description in RNAcentral is "partial 16S ribosomal RNA". It matches the Rfam family "Bacterial small subunit ribosomal RNA", at positions 29 to 507 of the family's 1533-position model. The record is from RNAcentral.
AGUGAACGCUGGCGGUAUGCCUAACACAUGCAAGUCGAACGGCAGCACAGUAAGUGCCUGCUCUUACGGGUUGCGAGUGGCGUGCGGAUGGGGUAGGCAUCCGAAUCUGCUUUUUCGGGUGGGAUUACGUAGGGAUACUUACGACAAUACCGCAUACGACCUACGGGUGUAAGCAGUGGAUCUUCGCAACUUGCGCGAUUCAAUGAGCCGCUGUCGGAUUUGCUCGUUGGCGGGGGAAAGGCCCACCAAGGCGACGAUCCGCAGCGGGUCUGUGAGGAUGAUCGGCCACACUGGACCUGGGACACGGUCCAGAUUCCUACGGGAGGCAGCAGUGGGGAAUAUUGGACAUGGGGCGCAAUCCUGACGCACACAGACCGCUUGGGGAAAGAAGGCCUUCGGGUUGUAAAGCCCUUUUGUUGGGAAAGAAAAGCAGGAGGUUAAUACCUCGCUGUUCUGACGGUAUCCAACGAAUAAGCACCGGCUAACUUCGUG